Molecule: long non-coding RNA, 1122 nt
Organism: Oncorhynchus tshawytscha (Chinook salmon)
Lineage: Eukaryota; Metazoa; Chordata; Actinopteri; Salmoniformes; Salmonidae
Source: Ensembl
CAGAAGAGGCAUUUCGCCAUGUUAAAAGACUGGAGGAAGAUGUUAUUCAUCUCCCAAAAGAGGAUGAAAAUGAUAUGUCUAACAAACAUGAGGAGCAAUUGGAAGAUGAAUUGCACCCCUAUGGGUAUGGUAACGAUGAUUGUGAAAGAUUGGGAGGAUUCAUUAAGGAAAAUGACAUGACAGAAAGAAUCGAUAAGUUCAACCAAGAGGAGAUUAUCUCAUAUGAAUCUGCUCAAGCUUCUCACUGGUCAGAAGAGGUAUUUCACCAUGUUGAAAGAGUGGAGGAAGGUGACAUAAAUUUCACAAAAGUGGAUGAUGAAAAUGAUAUGUCUAACAAACGUGAGGAACAACAUGCACUGAACCCCAAUGGGGAUGUAAAGGAUGAAUGGGAUCGAGUGGCAGGGUACAAUGAAGAGAAUGGAAUUGGAGAAAGAAUGGAUGAUUGGAAAGAAGCAAAGUAUCAUGUGAAAGAGGAAGAGAUGUGGAAUAACAGAGAAGCCCAACCCAAUCGGUCUGAUCAAGAGUAUAUACCUUCAAAUGAAGAGAAACAAAAUCUAUUCGAGCAAGAGCAAAUACCUUCAGGCAGAGAGAAACUGAAUCAGUCUGAGCAAAGGUAUAUCAAUUCAAACGGAGAGAAACUGAAUCAAUCUGAGCAAGAACAUAUACCUUCAGGCGGAGAGAAACUGAAUCAAUCCGAGCAAGAAAAUAUACCUUUAGGCGGAGAGAAACUGAAUCAAUCUGAGUCAGAGUACAUAACUUCAGGCGGAGAGAAACAGAACGUAAAUGCACAAGAACACAUACCAACAGACGGAGAGAAAAUGAAUCAAUCCGAGUCAGAGUAUAUACCUUCAGGUGGAGAGAAACUGAAUCAAUCCGAGCCAGAGUACAUAACUUCAGGCGGAGAGAAACUGAAUCUAUAUGUGCAAGAACACAUACCCUCAGACAGAGAGAAAAUGAAUCAAUCCGAGCAAGAAAAUAUACCUUUAGGUGGAGAAAAACUGAAUCAAUUCGAGCAAGAAAAUAUACCUUUAGGUGGACAGAAACUGAAUCAAUUCGAGCCAGAGUAUAUAAUUUCAGGCGGAGAGAAACUGAAUCUAUAUGAACAAGAACACAUACCUUUAG